AGUUUCACUUUAUUCCUCGAACUCCUAAAAUGGACAUCUAACCCCCUAAACUCUAAUAUUUCAUUCAUAUUAUCCCUUCCGUCAAUUUUCCGUCAAGCUCCGUUAACCGGAAACUGAUGGAAUGGAUAAAACGAAUGAAAUAUUAGAGUUUAGGAUAUUAAAUAUCUAUUUUAGGAGUUUGGGGGGUUAAGUGAAACUCGCCAAAAGUUCACGAGGUAGCAGUGCAAUUUACUUCUAGGACUCUUGACUGUAAAUUAUUUUAUAAUAAUAUGCUACUUAUGGAUUGACUACUAACCCUCAAGUUAGUGAUCAUGUUUGAUUUUGAAUUUAUAUAUAUUUUUUAUCCUAAAAUAAAUUAUACAAUAAUUUAUUCUAUAUUUUAUUGUAAUAAAAUAAAAGCGAAAGAAAUUAAUUAGAGUGGCUUAAAGAUAAAAAAAAGAGCGAUACAACUACUUACAAUACUCGAACAAUCUACUGUUCUGAUGUACUCGCUAAUAUGGUUGAUUUACAAUAGGUGUUCUCACUCGGAUAUAGAGAUUUUAAUUCUCANAAAUUUACAAGUUAAUUUCGUCAAAAUUUUGAUAAAAUUUUAGCUCUAUUAGUUAUUAUAUUUGUUGAUCAUUCCAAUUUUAUUUACUAAAAAUAAUUAAAAACAAAAAAAUUAUAGCUAUAAAUAUUUUUAGAAAUAAACUAGAGAUGUUGCUCCUCGUUGUUCUGAUGAUGAAGCAUCUGAAUCGAUGACUAGUAUAUAACUUAAGGGUAAAUUGUAUUGUUACCCUCUGAACUUUUGGCGAUGUUUCACUUUACCCCUCGAACUCCUAAAAUGGACAUCUAACCCCCUAAACUCUAAUAUUUUAUUCAUGUUACCCAUUCCGUGAAUUUUCCGUCAAGCUCCGUUAACCGGAAACUGAUGGAAUGGAUAAAAUGAAUGAAAUAUUAGAGUUUAGAGUGUUAAAUGUCUAUUUUAGGAGUUUGGGGGGUUAAGUGAAACGCGCCAAAAGUUCAGGAGGUAGCAGUUCAAUUUACUUCUAGGACUCUUGACUGUAAAUUAUUUUAUAAUAAUAUGUUACUUAUAGAUUGACUACUAACCCUCAAGUUAGUGAUCAUGCUUGAUUUUGAAUUUAUAUAUAUUUUUUAUCCUAAAAUAAAUUAUACAAUAAUUUAUCUUAUAUUUUAUUGUAAUAAAAUAAAAGCGAAAGAAAUUAAUUAGAGUGGCUAAAAGAUAAAAAAAGAGCAAUACUAACUACUUACAAUACUCGAACAAUCUACUGUUCUGAUGUACUCGCUAAUAUGGUUGAUUUACAAUAGGUGUUUUCACUCGGAUAUAGAGAUUUUAAUUCUCAGUUAAUUUUCUGUAGUAUUCGUUUAUUCUUUUUAUCUUUAGAAGUAUUGUUCUAAAACAUUAUAACAUAUUAUUUUAUAUUUUUAUAUUAAAAAUUUUUAAUUAGCUGAAAUGAAGUACAAAAAUUUUAUUUUAGCCUACAAUAAAAUUACAUUGCAUAGUUUCGUAAGAAAUAAGUGCAUUUUCUAAUAAAAUAUUAUUUUAUAUUUUUAUAUUAAAAUUUUUUAAUUGGUUGAAAUGAUGUACAAAAAUUUUAUUUUAGACUACAAUAAAAUUACAUUGCAUAGUUUCAUAGAAAAUAAGUGUAUUUUCUAUAACAAUGCUUCUAAAGAUAAAAGGAACAAACGAAUACUAAAGAAAAUUAACUGAGAAUUAAAAUCUCUAUAUCCUAGUAAGAACACCUAUUGUAAAUCAACAAUAUUAGCGAGUACAUUAGGACAGUAGAGUGUUCAAGUAUCGUAGAUAGUUAGUAUCACUAUUUUCUUAUCUUUAAGCCACUCUAAUUCAUUUCUUUCACUUUUAUUUUAUUACAAUAAAAUAUAGGAUAAAUUAUGGUAUGAUUUAUUUUAGAAUAAAAAAUAUAUAUAAAUUCAAAAUCAAGCUUGAUCACUAACUUGAGAGUUAGUAGUCAAUCCAUAAGUAACAUAUUAUAAUAAAAUAAUUUAUA
Molecule: long non-coding RNA, 2009 nt
Filed under: Ananas comosus (pineapple)
Lineage: Eukaryota; Viridiplantae; Streptophyta; Magnoliopsida; Poales; Bromeliaceae
Description: long non-coding RNA (ACOM_LNC012538)
Source: RNAcentral